Molecule: ribosomal RNA, 500 nt
Filed under: uncultured bacterium
Lineage: Bacteria
Description: partial 16S ribosomal RNA
Rfam family: Bacterial small subunit ribosomal RNA
Source: RNAcentral
AUUGAACGCUGGCGGAAUGCUUUACACAUGCAAGUCGAACGGCAGCACGGACUUCGGUCUGGUGGCGAGUGGUGAACGGGUGAGUAAUACAUCGGAACGUGCCCAGUCGUGGGGGAUAACGUAGCGAAAGCUACGCUAAUACUGCAUACGAACUAAGGAUGAAAGCGGGGGAUCGCAAGACCUCGCGCGAUUGGAGCCGACGAUGGCAGAUUCGGUAGUUGGUAGGGUAAAGGCCUACCAAUCCGACGAUCUGUCGCUGGUCUGAGAGGAGGAUCAGCCGCACUGGGACUGAGAUACGGCCCAGACUCCUCCGGGAGGCAGCAGGGAGGAAUUUUGGACAAUGGGCGCAAGCCUGAUCCAGCCAUUCCGCGUGCAGGAUGAAGGCCUUCGGGUUGUAAACUGCUUUUGUACAGAACGAAAAGGCUCUGGUUAAUACCCGGGGCUCAUGACGGUACUGUAAGAAUAAGCACCGGCUAACUACGUGCCAGCCGCCGCCGUAA